This 391-nucleotide ribosomal RNA is filed under the name Escherichia coli. RNAcentral's name for it is "partial 23S ribosomal RNA". It matches the Rfam family "Bacterial large subunit ribosomal RNA", at positions 2259 to 2649 of the family's 2925-position model. RNAcentral also lists the same sequence under 3 other names. The record is from RNAcentral. Lineage: Bacteria; Pseudomonadati; Pseudomonadota; Gammaproteobacteria; Enterobacterales; Enterobacteriaceae.
UGGUGGGUAGUUUGACUGGGGCGGUCUCCUCCUAAAGAGUAACGGAGGAGCACGAAGGUUGGCUAAUCCUGGUCGGACAUCAGGAGGUUAGUGCAAUGGCAUAAGCCAGCUUGACUGCGAGCGUGACGGCGCGAGCAGGUGCGAAAGCAGGUCAUAGUGAUCCGGUGGUUCUGAAUGGAAGGGCCAUCGCUCAACGGAUAAAAGGUACUCCGGGGAUAACAGGCUGAUACCGCCCAAGAGUUCAUAUCGACGGCGGUGUUUGGCACCUCGAUGUCGGCUCAUCACAUCCUGGGGCUGAAGUAGGUCCCAAGGGUAUGGCUGUUCGCCAUUUAAAGUGGUACGCGAGCUGGGUUUAGAACGUCGUGAGACAGUUCGGUCCCUAUCUGCCGUG